RNAcentral lists this ribosomal RNA (372 nucleotides) under uncultured organism. RNAcentral's name for it is "partial 16S ribosomal RNA". It matches the Rfam family "Bacterial small subunit ribosomal RNA", at positions 527 to 896 of the family's 1533-position model. The record is from RNAcentral.
GUAGGUGGCAAGCGUUGUCCGGAAUUAUUGGGCGUAAAGCGCGCGCAGGCGGUUCUUUAAGUCUGAUGUGAAAGCCCACGGGCUCAACCGUGGAGGGUCAUUGGAAACUGGAGAACUUGAGUACAGAAGAGGAAAGCGGAAUUCCACGUGUAGCGGUGAAAUGCGUAGAGAUGUGGAGGAACACCAGUGGCGAAGGCGGCUUUCUGGUCUGUAACUGACGCUGAGGCGCAAAAGCGUGGGGAGCAAACAGGAUUAGAUACCCUGGUAGUCCACGCCGUAAACGAUGAGUGCUAAGUGUUAGGGGGUUUCCGCCCCUUAGUGCUGCAGCUAACGCAUUAAGCACUCCGCCUGGGGAGUACGGCCGCAAGGCUG